UAUAGCUGGUCCCUGCAGGCUUUUUAAUGUAAACACACACCGUGUGCAGCACUGGCGUUAGUUCAUAUGGGUGGGGCAUUGUGAUGUCACAUGGGGGGGCAGCAAAUUUUUAUUUUGUCUAGGGCGGCAAAAAUCCUUGCACCGGCUCUGAUCCUGGGCAGGUGCACCAGUCUACUUGACUGGUUUUGCCCCCCAGGCCUAAGGCUGCCAGCCCUCCCCUGGCCGCUGGGGAGGUCUUUUUGCGGCCGCUGGCGGACUUGUCCUGGCGGCCGCUGAGGCAGCUGCGCGAGCUGCGCUGGCUCUGCUCCCCAGCAGGCAGCUGAAUGAGACCGGCGCCGGAAUAUGACGUCAUAUUCCGGCGCCAGUCUCAUUCAGCAGUGCGCGAGGGUGGGAUGGCACUAACACAGGAAGCACCUCUAGUGACCGUCUGAGUGACUGUCACUAGCAGUGUCACUUUGAAGCAAUGUAAACACUGCCUUUUGUCUGAAAAGUCAGUGUUUACGUUGAAAAGCCUGUAGGGACAUGCUAUAGACACCAGUACCACCACAUUAAGCUGUGUGUGUGCAUAUGCUAGUGAGUGAGCUUGCUUGCAUGCGUGUGCCUGCUAGUGAGUGAGCUUGUGUUUUUUAUGUCAGUGAGCUGAUGUAUAUCAGUAAGAUUGUUUGUCUAUGAGGCUGUGUAUCAAUGAGCUUGUGUGUGUCACUGAAAUGUCAGUGAAAUUGCCUGUGUCUGCAUGUGCGUAUGCUUACUGUAUAAUUAAACGUUUUACCCUGAAAGGUCCUAUAUUUUAUAUUAGAAAAAGCAAUAUAUAUAUAUAUAUUUAUUAAUUACUCAAUCAUCUGUCCUGGCAAGACAUAGCCUUACAUAUUACACGCGACAAUAUAUGGCGCAGUGACUUAUGGGACGGGCACACAUUUUUUUUUUCUGGGCUGCUUUGUAUCCCCAGUCCGGCCCUGCCUCCAGGGUCCAUAGAGGCUCCUUCGGAGCGCCCCGCACAUACCAGGAGUUCCAGCCGUUGCCCUUCUUCCCGUCCAGGGGACGUCCAUGGCCUUCUCGGGGAAGCCGCAGACAAUCUACUUACAGACGACCUUACGGUAAGUGCAAUAUCUCUCAUUCCUCCACAUCUACACAUAGGGGGCAGGCUUGCGCUGUUUGCGCAUGCAUGGGACGAGCUCACAAAAGACACUUGGGUGUUACAGACUGUCAGAGGUUUCUAUCUCGACCUUAUAUCUACCCCAUUUCAAAUCCAUGUCCCAAGAGAACUGACAUUGGCCCCAGACCAAACCAAACUCCUAACAAAGGAGAUUACAGACCUCCAUACCAAACGGGCAAUCCAAGAGAUCCCAUACGAUACCCCAGGUUUUACCAGCAACCUAUUUUUGGUAACCAAAAAAGGCGGAGGUAUGCGGCCAGUCAUAAACUUAAAGGAACUCAAUGCGUUCCUCGCAUACCAACACUUCAAAAUGGAAGGCAUUCAUUGCCUCAGGGAUUUAUUACAACAGGGAGAUUGGAUGGUCAAAUUGGACCUCAAGGACGCGUACCUCACCGUCCCUAUUGCAGAGGCACACUGGGACCUCUUGCAUUUCACAUGGCAAGGGCGACGUUGGAGAUUUACAUGUCUGCCCUUCGGUCUGUCGUCAGCGCCCUGGUGCUUCACGAAACUCAUGAAGCCUGUGGUAGCCUUUCUCAGAGCACGAGGAGUUCGUCUGAUCAUAUAUCUGGACGAUAUUUUAAUCAUGGCAUCCUCACAAGACCAAGUACUGCUCCACCUACAGUGGACCAUCACGUUACUCGAGACUCUGGGUUUUUUGAUAAAUUGGGAGAAAUCCAUAACCAAUCCAGUCCAAAAGAUAGAGUUCCUGGGAUUCCAGAUCGACGCAAUCUCACAAUUCUUACUCCUCCCGGACACGAAAUUGAAGGCCAUCAAAAAAGAGAUCAGGCGCACAUUACGAGCUCAAUCUCUCUCUAUUCGGCAACUAGCCCGAGUAUUAGGACUACUGGCUUCCUCGAUACAAGCCAUCUUCCCAGGGCCUCUACACUAUCGUGCCCUACAACGGUUAAAAGGUUCUCACCUCAGGUCCGGCCGUUCAUACGAAUCCGCACUAGUCCUGGAUGUAGAAUCACGGGAGGAGCUGAGGUGGUGGCUAGACCAUAUGGAGGCGUGGAACGGCCGAGCAAUAUUCGGAACCAGCCCGGACCUGAUUAUAGAAUCGGAUGCAAGCCUCCAUGGCUGGGGCGCGCGUUGUGGCAACAUAUCCACCGGUGGCAGAUGGUCCAUGGAGGAAUCCACAAUGCACAUAAAUUGCCUGGAACUUCUGGCAGGAUCGUUCGCCAUCCGCAGUCUCUCCCCUACGGUAGGGAGAUGUUGUAUACUGGACAACAUCUCGGCAGUCCGUUAUAUCAAUCAUCUAGGAGGCACCAAAUCCAAACGACUAGCAAACCUAGCGAAGGAAUUUUGGCAGUUUUGCCUUCAGAACGAGAUUGCGGUGACAGCGGAACACAUUCCGGGCUUAGACAACAUACAAGCGGACUGGAAUUCCAUAUAUCUGCGAGAUCCGGGAGACUGGCGUCUUCUCCGCUCUACCUUUUGCCAAAUAGACGAAUUGUGGGGACCACUGGACGUAGACCUUUUUGCAUCCAGACUGAACAGUCACCUGCCUCGAUACUUCAGCUGGCGACCAGAUCCAACAGCCUCGGGGACGGAUGCUUUCCUACAGACAUGGCCGAAGUCUCGGCAUUACGCAUUUCCCCCUUUCAAUCUCAUUUCCAGGACACUAUCAUACCUAUGCACACAGGACUGUUCACUAGUGAUAGUGGUUCCACUAUGGCACGCUCAGCCGUGGUUUCCUCGACUACUAGAAAUGGCAAUCGACUCUCCACGAGUAAUACCAUCAAAACCAGACUUGCUCUUGGACCCAGAGGGGAAUCCGCACAACCUAAUCAAUCAGGGCCUGCUGCAACUCACGGUCUGGUUGAUUUCCGGAGUCCCUGGACAUUCACAGACAUUCCACAGACGGUUACAAGACUCAUGGACAACCCCUGGGCUCCAGGGACCAGAGCGGCCUAUAACUCUGCAUGGCGAGUGUGGGCUAGCUGGUGCAUGGAACGGUCAGUGGAUCCGGUUUCAGCACCUCUGAAAGAAGUACUGGAGUUUUUGACGUCCCUUUUCGAAGAAGGAAGAGGGUAUCGUACCAUUAACGUGUACAGGUCGGCGAUCUCGGCAGGACACCGAGACCUGGAGGGCUCCCCGAUCGGUCAGCAUCCCUUCGUUUGUAGACUCCUGAAGGGGAUACGCUUUGAGAAACCUCCACAGACCCGCUAUUCUUCAUUCUGGGAUGUCAACAUUGUCUUGCACUUCCUGGAAGAAUGGAUGCCAAAUGAGGAACUCUCCCUUAAACACCUGUCUUGGAAACUGCUGACUCUGUUAUGCUUACUGUCCUGCAAGAGGAUAUCGGACGUGCGAGCCUUGGACUGGGACGCAUUGUCAUUCACCCCAGAGGGCGUAUCAUUCUCCAUAUCGAGACUAACUAAAGGCAAUACAAAAUCUAUCUCUUACCAGAGAUACCUAGGACAUCCUUCACUAUGCCCGGUCAGAUGCCUUCGGUCCUACCUGGAUCGUACUCAGAGGUUACGCUCACCUGAAUCAAAUCAAUUAUUUAUAUCCUUUCGAACCCCUUUUCUACCAGUGUCCACGCCCACGUUAGCUCGUUGGGUCAAGAACCUGUUAGCAUUAACAGGAAUUGACACUUCGAAAUUCUCUGCACACUCGGUGAGAGGCGCGAUGGCAUCCAAGGCAUCAACGAUUGGUUGUCGCCUCGAGGACAUAUUAAAGGCGGCUGAUUGGUCGCAAGUAUCGACGUUCAGAGAAUUCUAUUUUCGGCCAAUUGAAUAUAUCUCUCUUCAGGUAGUGGCCAAGCUUUGAACUAGCAUAAUAUGAGCCUCCGUGUCAUUAAUAAAAUUCCAAGAUUUUACUAGUAACAUGACGUAAAGUCAUGAUUGUAUUAAUGACACGGAGGCAAGUAUUAUCCCCACCCACCAACCCACCCGGUGGGCGUGAUACAGUCUAUAAGGAGAGUCUUAAGACUCUUGCAAAGGUAAGUAACAAGGAAUUUCAAGAGCAUGUACACCAUCCUUUUUAUGUACACACUUAACUUGUUUUACCAGUUUGUUAUAUCAAGUGUAAGGAACAUAAGGAUAACAUACAGUUCCAAAGUUUGGAUCUUACCGUACAUUCUCUUUGUUUCCACAGCGUAACGUACUGGACACUGACUGGGUAGAACACCGGAAGUUAUGGGAGGUUACGGGACUUAUUCCGUUCAAGUUACGACGGCUCUUCGUCGAGACAGACAAGAAAGAGGAAGUUAGAAGACUGUUCAAGACACUUAAUGUUGAUAAAUGUAUAUGAUUGGCUGCCCUGUUACUAGGCAGAUUACUUAUGUUAUUUAGUUUUUUAUUCUCUUUCAAGUUAAAUUCUUGCUGCUGAGGAGAAUAAUAAAAGAAAGAGAAAGCAUAAUACUCGCC
RNAcentral lists this long non-coding RNA (4521 nucleotides) under Pelobates cultripes (western spadefoot toad). The record is from RNAcentral. Lineage: Eukaryota; Metazoa; Chordata; Amphibia; Anura; Pelobatidae.